This 490-nucleotide ribosomal RNA is filed under the name uncultured bacterium. RNAcentral describes it as "partial 16S ribosomal RNA". It matches the Rfam family "Bacterial small subunit ribosomal RNA", at positions 30 to 507 of the family's 1533-position model. The record is from RNAcentral.
AUUGAACGCUGGCGGCAGGCCUAACACAUGCAAGUCGAACGGUAACAGAAAGCAGCUUGCUGCUUUGCUGACGAGUGGCGGGCGGGUGAGUAAUGUCUGGGAAACUGCCAGAUGGAGGGGGAUAACUACUGGAAACGGUAGUUAAUACCGCAUAACGUCGCAAGACCAAAGAGGGGGAGCUUCGGGCCUCUUGCCUUCGGCUGUGCCCAGAUGGGAUUAGCUAGUAGGUGGGGUAACGGCUCACCUAGGCGACGAUCCCUAGCUGGUCUGAGAGGAUGACCAGCCACACUGGAACUGAGACACGGUCCAGACUCCUACGGGAGGCAGCAGUGGGGAAUAUUGCGCAAUGGGCGCAAGCCUGAUGCAGCCAUGCCGCGUGUAUGAAGAAGGCCUUCGGGUUGUAAAGUACUUUCAGCGGGGAGGAAGAGAGUAAAGUUAAUAUCUGUACACAUUGACGUUACCCGCAGAAGAAGCACCGGCUAACUCCGUG